CACGGUGGUCCAGCGGUUAGAACGCCGGGUUGUAAUCCUGGGGUCUCGGGUUCGAUUCCCGGCGGUG
RNAcentral lists this transfer RNA (67 nucleotides) under Zootermopsis nevadensis. It matches the Rfam family "tRNA". Rfam says of the family: Transfer RNA (tRNA) molecules are approximately 80 nucleotides in length. Their secondary structure includes four short double-helical elements and three loops (D, anti-codon, and T loops). Lineage: Eukaryota; Metazoa; Arthropoda; Insecta; Blattodea; Termopsidae. The record is from Rfam by way of RNAcentral.